GCUGGCGUAGCUCAACUGGCAGAGCAACGGUCUUGUAAACCGUAGGUUGUGAGUUCGAGUCUCACCGCCAGCUC
This 74-nucleotide transfer RNA is filed under the name Tautonia plasticadhaerens. Its description in RNAcentral is "Planctomycetes bacterium ElP tRNA-Thr". It matches the Rfam family "tRNA". From Rfam's summary of the family: Transfer RNA (tRNA) molecules are approximately 80 nucleotides in length. Their secondary structure includes four short double-helical elements and three loops (D, anti-codon, and T loops). Lineage: Bacteria; Pseudomonadati; Planctomycetota; Planctomycetia; Isosphaerales; Isosphaeraceae. The record is from RNAcentral.